Molecule: ribosomal RNA, 763 nt
Filed under: uncultured Streptococcus sp.
Lineage: Bacteria; Bacillati; Bacillota; Bacilli; Lactobacillales; Streptococcaceae
Description: bacterial SSU rRNA
Rfam family: Bacterial small subunit ribosomal RNA
Source: RNAcentral
GACGAACGCUGGCGGCGUGCCUAAUACAUGCAAGUAGAACGCUGAAGGAGGAGCUUGCUUCUCCGGAUGAGUUGCGAACGGGUGAGUAACGCGUAGGUAACCUGCCUGGUAGCGGGGGAUAACUAUUGGAAACGAUAGCUAAUACCGCAUAACAGUAGAUAUUGCAUGAUAUCUGCUUGAAAGGUGCAAUUGCAUCACCACCAGAUGGACCUGCGUUGUAUUAGCUAGUUGGUGGGGUAACGGCUCACCAAGGCGACGAUACAUAGCCGACCUGAGAGGGUGAUCGGCCACACUGGGACUGAGACACGGCCCAGACUCCUACGGGAGGCAGCAGUAGGGAAUCUUCGGCAAUGGACGGAAGUCUGACCGAGCAACGCCGCGUGAGUGAAGAAGGUUUUCGGAUCGUAAAGCUCUGUUGUAAGAGAAGAACGAGUGUGAGAGUGGAAAGUUCACACUGUGACGGUAUCUUACCAGAAAGGGACGGCUAACUACGUGCCAGCAGCCGCGGUAAUACGUAGGUCCCGAGCGUUGUCCGGAUUUAUUGGGCGUAAAGCGAGCGCAGGCGGUUAGAUAAGUCUGAAGUUAAAGGCUGUGGCUUAACCAUAGUACGCUUUGGAAACUGUUUAACUUGAGUGCAAGAGGGGAGAGUGGAAUUCCAUGUGUAGCGGUGAAAUGCGUAGAUAUAUGGAGGAACACCGGUGGCGAAAGCGGCUCUCUGGCUUGUAACUGACGCUGAGGCUCGAAAGCGUGGGGAGCAAACAGG